This 301-nucleotide ribosomal RNA is filed under the name uncultured bacterium. Its description in RNAcentral is "partial 16S ribosomal RNA". It matches the Rfam family "Bacterial small subunit ribosomal RNA", at positions 509 to 807 of the family's 1533-position model. The record is from RNAcentral.
CAGUCGCCGCGGGAAUACAGAGGGUGCGAGCGUUAAUCGGAUUUACUGGGCGUAAAGCGUGCGUAGGCGGCUUCUUAAGUCGGAUGUGAAAUCCCUGAGCUUAACUUAGGAAUUGCAUUCGAUACUGGGAAGCUAGAGUAUGGGAGAGGACGGUAGAAUUCCAGGUGUAGCGGUGAAAUGCGUAGAGAUCUGGAGGAAUACCGAUGGCGAAGGCAGCCAUCUGGCCUAAUACUGACGCUGAGGUACGAAAGCAUGGGGAGCAAACAGGAUUAGAUACCCCCGUAGUCCCUGUCUCUUAUAC